GCGGCUUGUUGCGUCAGCUGUGAAAACCCGCAGCUCAACUGUGGGCUUGCAGCUGAUACGGGCAGGCUUGAGUUCGGUAGGGGAGACUGGAAUUCCUGGUGUAGCGGUGAAAUGCGCAGAUAUCAGGAGGAACACCGGUGGCGAAGGCGGGUCUCUGGGCCGAUACUGACGCUGAGGAGCGAAAGCGUGGGGAGCGAACAGGAUUAGAUACCCUGGUAGUCCACGCUGUAAACGUUGGGCGCUAGGUGUGGGGGGCCUCUCCGGUUCUCUGUGCCGCAGCUAACGCAUUAAGCGCCCCGCCUGGGGAGUACGGCCGCAAGGCUAAAACUCAAAGGAAUUGACGGGGGCCCGCACAAGCGGCGGAACAUGCGGAUUAAUUCGAUGCAACGCGAAGAACCUUACCUGGGUUUGACAUGGGCGCUAAAGCCGCAGAGAUGUGGUGUCCUUCGGGGGCGUUCACAGGUGGUGCAUGGCUGUCGUCAGCUCGUGUCGCGAGAUGUUGGGUUAAGUCCCGCAACGAGCGCAACCCUUGUUCGAUGUUGCCAGCGG
RNAcentral lists this ribosomal RNA (549 nucleotides) under uncultured Dactylosporangium sp. Its description in RNAcentral is "bacterial SSU rRNA". It matches the Rfam family "Bacterial small subunit ribosomal RNA", at positions 575 to 1124 of the family's 1533-position model. The record is from RNAcentral. Lineage: Bacteria; Bacillati; Actinomycetota; Actinomycetes; Micromonosporales; Micromonosporaceae.